Molecule: long non-coding RNA, 894 nt
Organism: Corticium candelabrum
Lineage: Eukaryota; Metazoa; Porifera; Homoscleromorpha; Homosclerophorida; Plakinidae
Exons: 8
Source: RefSeq, a predicted model, not a curated record
UUGGCGUUUCUCCGAGGACAAGCCUCUCUCUAGAUAUGGAGAAGGAGGGCUAGUUGUCUCUCCUGCAAUGUCCUGCUAUCACUCAUCGCAAUGAAAUAUGAAUCAGUGGCGCAUUACAACAGUCAGUUAUGUAACCACGUCAUGCCGGCUGUUGUCAUACGGGAAUGAAAACCGUAUAGAAGAAAGGACAGCGUGUUUCUCUACUUUGAAGACAAUGCAGUGGUAAUUGUCAACAAUAAAGGAGAAAUAAAAGGUUCGGGUAUCACGGGUCCAGUAGCGAAGGAAUGUGCUGAACUGUGGCUGCGUAUUGAGUCGAAUGCGUCUAGCAUUGCCUAAGUUGUUAUCUCAAAUGUACGGGACUGUGAUAGAUGUGGAUAAUCAACACAAUGAGCCAUCGCAACGCACUUGAAGAAUACUUCAUCUGGCUUUCUACAUCUCAGUGCUAGAGUAGUCAAGUCACAUUACAGUGUUGGCAGAUUGUGGCAUGUUCUUCUGCGUUGUGUGUCAGAUGUGGAGGAUCUUCUCCAGUCUGUUCCUGGUGUUCUUUUUGGUCGAUCCAUCUGCUUAUCUCCAAGUGUAAAGGAAGGGUGUGGUCAUUGCAAGAAUGCCAAACGCGAGUUUGAAUCUGCUGCUGAAACAUUGUCUGGCCACGACAAGCAAGCAUUAGCAGCAAUCGAUUGCACAGAAUUUUCUGAUGUUUGUACGCAGCAUGGAGUGAAAGGUUAUCCUACAUUUAAGUAUUUUCACAAUGGAAAGGAAAGUGAGAAAUAUGAAGGUGGACGUACUGCGCACAAUUUCUCCAAUUUUGUUUUGAGCAAAUGUGUGUCAGACAAGAAGGAUGAAUUGUAGUUUAUGUGUACGUACUGCUUGCUCAAUAACUUUUCUUGCUAUUCA